AUGGUCUGGGAUAACCGCGGGAAACUGCGGUUAAUACCGGAUAAGCCCGAGAGGGGAAAGAUUUAUCGCCGAUGGAGGGGCCCGCGUCAGAUUAGGUAGUUGGUGGGGUAAUGGCCUACCAAGCCUACGAUCUGUAGCUGGUCUGAGAGGAUGAUCAGCCACACUGGGACUGAGAUACGGCCCAGACUCCUACGGGAGGCAGCAGUGGGGAAUAUUGGACAAUGGGGGCAACCCUGAUCCAGCAAUGCCGCGUGAGUGAUGAAGGCCUUAGGGUUGUAAAGCUCUUUUGGCGGGGACGAUGAUGACGGUACCCGCAGAAUAAGCCCCGGCUAACUUCGUGCCAGCAGCCGCGGUAAUACGAAGGGGGCGAGCGUUGUUCGGAAUUACUGGGCGUAAAGGGCGCGUAGGCGGCGACCCAAGUCAGAUGUGAAAGUCCUGGGCUUAACCUGGGGACUGCAUUUGAUACUGGGUUGCUUGAAUUCGGGAGAGGAUAGCGGAAUUCCCAGUGUAGAGGUGAAAUUCGUAGAUAUUGGGAAGAACACCGGUGGCGAAAGCGGCUAUCUGGACCGACAUUGACGCUGAGGCGCGAAAGCGUGGGGAGCAAACAGAUUAGAUACCCUGGUAGUCCACGCCGUAAACGAUGAUGCUAGACGCUGGGGAGCAUGCUCUUCGUGUCGCAGCUACGCAUAAGCAUCCGCCUGGGGAGUACGGUCGCAGAUAAACUCA
This 726-nucleotide ribosomal RNA is filed under the name uncultured bacterium. RNAcentral describes it as "bacterial SSU rRNA". It matches the Rfam family "Bacterial small subunit ribosomal RNA", at positions 133 to 903 of the family's 1533-position model. The record is from RNAcentral.